GCAAGGCUGGGGGGCAUUGGCUGGAUGGAUGGCAGGGUAAGAUUCGCGCCACUCUGAAUUCCGCUCUGUUGGCUUUUGUUGACUAAUACUUUGUUUCUGUGAUGUACACACCGUUCUCUGCCAAGUUCAGGUGACAGAAAAAUGGUCAAUAAAGUGAAUUGCAUUGUCUGUUGAAGAACAGAGCCUGUCAGUAAGUCUGCCUGUACUGUGAGUUUGGCCAGUGAGAUGACUCUCCUUAUGGAUGCCUCAGGGCACCCAAUCUGUCCUUGACGCCCUUUGGAGCACUGAAGAUCUCCUGCUGGAGAGAAUCCCUCCUGGAACAAGCUGCCCCAAGCCCAAGGGCACCCAGGCACACACCGCCAGGCUGAGAUGUAAGAAUCAAUUCUCCUGAGAGUUGGUUGGAGCCAGGAACAACAGAAAUGAUGGUGAUGGUCUGGCUAUGCUGCACGGUUGCCAAGGAGCCAGCUCGGGCAUUUGCUGCAACGUCUGUGGGAUACAGAGGUCACCGGGACAAGAGACACUCCAAAAAGCCAUGGCAAGGAAGAAAAGGUAAAUCAUAGAAUCAUUAAGGUUGGAAAGACCAAUAAUAUCAUUUAGUCCGGCCAUCAUCCCAUACGUGUGACUGCUCUAGACCAUGUCACUCAGUGCCACAUCUCCAUGUUUCUUGAACAUCUCCAGGGAUGGUGACUCCACCACCUCCCUG
Long non-coding RNA from Numida meleagris (helmeted guineafowl), 703 nucleotides. RefSeq lists it as uncharacterized. The record is from RefSeq and is a predicted model, not a curated record. The transcript has 3 exons. NCBI's taxonomy places the organism in Eukaryota, Metazoa, Chordata, Aves, Galliformes, Numididae.